Molecule: microRNA precursor, 97 nt
Filed under: Nicotiana sylvestris (wood tobacco)
Lineage: Eukaryota; Viridiplantae; Streptophyta; Magnoliopsida; Solanales; Solanaceae
Also listed under: 1 other name
Description: MIR6152 microRNA precursor family
Rfam family: MIR6152 microRNA precursor family
Source: Rfam by way of RNAcentral
UGGACAAAUUAUUAUAUUCGACUGUAUUCACAACGUGAAAUAGGGGAUUACACUAUAUUUAAAACGGAAAGUAAAUCAAUUAACAUAAUAGACUCCU